Molecule: ribosomal RNA, 756 nt
Filed under: Escherichia coli
Lineage: Bacteria; Pseudomonadati; Pseudomonadota; Gammaproteobacteria; Enterobacterales; Enterobacteriaceae
Description: partial 23S ribosomal RNA
Rfam family: Bacterial large subunit ribosomal RNA
Source: RNAcentral
GGGUUGUGAGGUUAAGCGACUAAGCGUACACGGUGGAUGCCCUGGCAGUCAGAGGCGAUGAAGGACGUGCUAAUCUGCGAUAAGCGUCGGUAAGGUGAUAUGAACCGUUAUAACCGGCGAUUUCCGAAUGGGGAAACCCAGUGUGAUUCGUCACACUAUCAUUAACUGAAUCCAUAGGUUAAUGAGGCGAACCGGGGGAACUGAAACAUCUAAGUACCCCGAGGAAAAGAAAUCAACCGAGAUUCCCCCAGUAGCGGCGAGCGAACGGGGAGCAGCCCAGAGCCUGAAUCAGUGUGUGUGUUAGUGGAAGCGUCUGGAAAGGCGCGCGAUACAGGGUGACAGCCCCGUACACAAAAAUGCACAUGCUGUGAGCUCGAUGAGUAGGGCGGGACACGUGGUAUCCUGUCUGAAUAUGGGGGGACCAUCCUCCAAGGCUAAAUACUCCUGACUGACCGAUAGUGAACCAGUACCGUGAGGGAAAGGCGAAAAGAACCCCGGCGAGGGGAGUGAAAAAGAACCUGAAACCGUGUACGUACAAGCAGUGGGAGCACGCUUAGGCGUGUGACUGCGUACCUUUUGUAUAAUGGGUCAGCGACUUAUAUUCUGUAGCAAGGUUAACCGAAUAGGGGAGCCGAAGGGAAACCGAGUCUUAACUGGGCGUUAAGUUGCAGGGUAUAGACCCGAAACCCGGUGAUCUAGCCAUGGGCAGGUUGAAGGUUGGGUAACACUAACUGGAGGACCGAACCGACUAAUGUU